This 503-nucleotide unclassified non-coding RNA is filed under the name Bombus terrestris (buff-tailed bumblebee). Its description in RNAcentral is "misc RNA ENSBTSG00005026251.1". The record is from RNAcentral. Lineage: Eukaryota; Metazoa; Arthropoda; Insecta; Hymenoptera; Apidae.
UUCAGAGUUCAGAUUGGUCGACAAAGUUCUCUUUUAGAGAAAGAGAAUAAGAAUGUAUUUUUGUAUCAGUUAUUAAAUACAGUAAUUAUUAUCUCAUUCGACCUGAGGCUGAAUGAGAGUGAGAAUGAGAAAGCUAUGUAAAUUAAUCUCAUUUUGUAGCCGACAAGCAAAAAUUAAUGAAAAAAAUAUAUGUACAUUACUUCAUUUGACAUUCUAAAAACCGAAACCCAACCCAACUGCCUGCAACUCGACGUGCCUACGAAACGUUGUUAACAGAGGAUACAUAUCAAAUAACUUAUGAGUUUCAGAAACCGAGCACAUAAAAACGAGAAGCGCGUUCAACGAGCAUAUAAAUCGAGGUUGCGUUCGAAAAAUACACAAACCAAUUUAAAAAGAUCAACGUCGAAACGAUUUGGUGGUGUUUUUUUUUCACGGUUUUGUUUCCAACUGAAAAUACACAUCUCCUCGGGGCAAGGUGAAAAGGCAAAUUGAUUCGUUCGAUG